AGAAAGAUAUGGUUCUCAAGGCCUGGAGAGGCAAACCAUAUCCAGAAAAGGUCCCUGAUGAUAGAACUCCCUGAGUAUUCUUGCAGAAAUGAAUAUCCACCAGGCUUCAUUGUUUUUCUUUUUUUUUCUUUUCUUUCUUUUCUUUUCUUUUUUUUUUUGAGAUGCAGUCUGUCUCUGUCGCCCAGGCUGGAGUGCAAUGGCCCGAUCUUGGCUCAAUGCAAGCUCCGCCUCCCGGGUUCACGCCAUUCUCCUGCCUCAGCCUCCCAACUACUCAGGAGGCUGAAGCAGGAGAAUUGCUUGAACCCAGGAGGCGGAGGUUGCAGUGAGCCAAGAUGGCGCCACCGCACUCCAGCCUGGCAACAGAGUGUGACUACGUCUCAAAAAAAGAAAAAAGAAAAAAGAAAGAAAGAAAAGAAAAAAAAUUUCAGGGAUAUUUAUGUAGUGACCUGUUAUUUAAUUUUUCAAUAAUAUAAAUCUCAGUUUCAAGAGAAAGAAAUUUGAAACAAACUCUUACGAUUUUCUUUCUCCUGAAAAUUAUUCCAGAACUUAAAGAAAUGAAGAAACAGCACAGAGUAAGUACAUUAGCUUUAUAACUAGUCUAUUCAACAUACCAUCUUGUCUAGUAGUAGUAAACUACUAAAAACAGUCUCCUGAGUGGAAAAAAUAUAGUUUUUUGUCUAUUUAACAAGUAAUAGCAUCAGUGUUGUCCUGCAUGUUCUCAUUAUUUUCUCCAAAUAAAUUGGCUCAAUAUGCUGCUAAGUAUUACUAUUUAUGUUUAUUUUGUAAUUCUAUAUCUUGUCUUUCCUGUUUCAUCUGUAAACAGGCAAUUAUUGCCUCAGUGUGUAUUUUGAUACAUUUUCUUUCUAAAUCUAUUGUCCAACAUCUUGCAUAUAAAAUCUGGCUUUUCUCUCAUAUCCCAAAAUCACAGGUCACAUAGUCUCAGUGCUAAAAGAGUUAUAAGAACAACUGCUUUAUUUCACUCCCAUCUCUGUGAACACAAAACUUCAAUCUCUAAAGUAUUUUGUAUCUAUUUAUAACACUAUGUUCCUGGCUUAUUGUUAUAUUAUUUCAUUAUUAGUUCUUAAAAACUUAGCAAGGUGCUGAAUAAUUUUGUGAAAUAUUCCAUGGAGAACCACCAUUAAAAUAGUGAUUAUUUUAA
This 1159-nucleotide long non-coding RNA is filed under the name Pongo abelii (Sumatran orangutan). RNAcentral describes it as "lincRNA". Lineage: Eukaryota; Metazoa; Chordata; Mammalia; Primates; Hominidae. The record is from RNAcentral.